GAUCCCUUACUACAACUCAAACCAAUCAAUUAUCAAAAUGAAAACCCCCUAGGGAUCUG
This 59-nucleotide non-coding RNA is filed under the name Cavenderia fasciculata. Its description in RNAcentral is "Dictyostelium fasciculatum Class I RNA from Dictyostelium". It matches the Rfam family "Class I RNA from Dictyostelium". Lineage: Eukaryota; Evosea; Eumycetozoa; Acytosteliales; Cavenderiaceae. The record is from Rfam by way of RNAcentral. RNAcentral also lists the same sequence under 1 other name.